This 98-nucleotide transfer RNA is filed under the name Streptomyces fuscichromogenes. Its description in RNAcentral is "tRNA-Arg". The record is from RNAcentral. Lineage: Bacteria; Bacillati; Actinomycetota; Actinomycetes; Kitasatosporales; Streptomycetaceae.
CCGCCCGGUACGCCGGCAUGAAGAACGUGCCGCUCUUCCUGCGGGCGGCCAGGGCCUGGCUGGCCCGUGAGGGCGGCGGGCACGUCGUCGUGUGCGGG